This 72-nucleotide transfer RNA is filed under the name Candidatus Omnitrophota bacterium. Its description in RNAcentral is "tRNA-Met". It matches the Rfam family "tRNA". Rfam says of the family: Transfer RNA (tRNA) molecules are approximately 80 nucleotides in length. Their secondary structure includes four short double-helical elements and three loops (D, anti-codon, and T loops). Lineage: Bacteria; Pseudomonadati; Candidatus Omnitrophota. The record is from RNAcentral.
UGCGGGGUGGAGCAGUGGUAGCUCGUCGGGCUCAUAACCCGGAGGUCGGCCGUUCAAAUCGGUCCCCCGCAA